Non-coding RNA from Acanthosepion pharaonis, 113 nucleotides. NCBI's taxonomy places the organism in Eukaryota, Metazoa, Mollusca, Cephalopoda, Sepiida, Sepiidae. The record is from the annotation of a GenBank genome assembly.
UACGGACAUAUCACGCUGAGACAUAGGUUCUCGUGCGAUCAGUGAAGUUAAGCAACGUUAGGCCUGAUCAGUACCUAGAUGGUUGACCGUUUGGUAAUGCCAGGUGUUGUAAU